AACUCUCCCUUUCUCUCACUUUUCACUUCUUCUUCUUCUUCUUCUUCUUCUUCUUCUUCUCUCUUAAACUACAAUGGUAGAAGACGUGUGUUUAUUUUUUGGCAUGUUGUAUGCAGAGAAGGUGGAAGAACAUAUUAAAGCUGUGAUUUUUAUCUCAAAAACUUUAUGAGUACAGAAAAUCAGUUGACAAUUGUAUGGGAUCUGAUAAUCAGGAAGCAGCAAAAUUGGAGUGAUGAUGACCCCAUUUGAUUGACGAAUAAUAGUUUAAAGUAAUAAUUUAAUAAUUAUGAUUUCUAGACAAUGUAUUUAUUAGGUUGUAAUGUAAAAUAAUUUUAAAUUGUUA
Glycine soja is the source of this 343-nucleotide long non-coding RNA. RefSeq lists it as uncharacterized. Lineage: Eukaryota; Viridiplantae; Streptophyta; Magnoliopsida; Fabales; Fabaceae. The record is from RefSeq and is a predicted model, not a curated record. The transcript has 2 exons.